GACGAACGCUGGCGGCGUGCUUAACACAUGCAAGUCGAACGGAAAGGCCCUGCUUUUGUGGGGUGCUCGAGUGGCGAACGGGUGAGUAACACGUGAGUAACCUGCCCUUGACUUUGGGAUAACUUCAGGAAACUGGGGCUAAUACCGGAUAGGAGCUCCUGCUGCAUGGUGGGGGUUGGAAAGUUUCGGCGGUUGGGGAUGGACUCGCGGCUUAUCAGCUUGUUGGUGGGGUAGUGGCUUACCAAGGCUUUGACGGGUAGCCGGCCUGAGAGGGUGACCGGCCACAUUGGGACUGCGAUACGGCCCAGACUCCUACGGGAGACAGCAGUGGGGAAUAUUGCACAAUGGUCCGAAGUCUGAUGCAGCAACGCCGCGUUCGGGAUGACGGCCUUCUGGUUGUAAACCGCUUUCGCCUGUGACGAAGCGUGAUUGACGGUAAUGGGUAAAGAAGCACCGGCUAACUACGUG
RNAcentral lists this ribosomal RNA (468 nucleotides) under uncultured bacterium. Its description in RNAcentral is "partial 16S ribosomal RNA". It matches the Rfam family "Bacterial small subunit ribosomal RNA", at positions 28 to 507 of the family's 1533-position model. The record is from RNAcentral.